GCCCGGAUGGUGAAAUUGGUAGACACAAGGGACUUAAACUCCCUCGGCUAUUGCAGCUGUGCCGGUUCGAGUCCGGCUCCGGGCACCA
Molecule: transfer RNA, 88 nt
Filed under: Verrucomicrobiota bacterium
Lineage: Bacteria; Pseudomonadati; Verrucomicrobiota
Also listed under: 2 other names
Description: tRNA-Leu
Rfam family: tRNA
About the family: Transfer RNA (tRNA) molecules are approximately 80 nucleotides in length. Their secondary structure includes four short double-helical elements and three loops (D, anti-codon, and T loops).
Source: RNAcentral